Molecule: small RNA, 571 nt
Filed under: Pan troglodytes (chimpanzee)
Lineage: Eukaryota; Metazoa; Chordata; Mammalia; Primates; Hominidae
Description: processed transcript
Source: RNAcentral
ACGUCUUCUCCAGUGGGAGUGAUGGGCGCCGGCUGCACGGAUCCCGGAGCCUGACUGCUGUCUACAGCGGCCUGAAGGGUGAGAAGCACGGCCGCGGAAGCAGAUACCAGAUGGAGUCUUGCUUAGUCGCCCAAGCUGGAGUAGUGUGGCUCGAUCUCAGCUCUGCAACCUCUGCCUCCCAGGGUUCAAGCAAUUCUCCUGCCUCAGUUUCCAGAGUAGCUGGAAUUAUAGUGCAGAUUCUGGGAUAGUGAACUCCACGGAAGACUCAGAAACCAAGUUCUAAUUCAGUUGCCAUGAAAACUUAAGGUGAGAGGAUUGUCAACCAGUGAAAAAUACGGAGGAAAACACUAACAGAAUAUGAUGAAGAAGCCAAGACUUGGGCUGCUUGCAUUACAUUAACCGAGGUUUACCCGCAGCGAGGCUGCCUCCAAAGCAUCCGGAGUUUGCAACCAUCACUGUCCACCCCGCGAGCUGCAAUAGUGCGAGAACUACAAUUCCCGUGGGGCUGUGCGGGAGCAUCGCGAGAGUUACCUUAACUGUGGCGGCGGGAAGGCGGACCCUGCAGCUGGCU